RNAcentral lists this ribosomal RNA (426 nucleotides) under uncultured bacterium. Its description in RNAcentral is "bacterial SSU rRNA". It matches the Rfam family "Bacterial small subunit ribosomal RNA", at positions 356 to 773 of the family's 1533-position model. The record is from RNAcentral.
GAGGAAUAUUGGGCAAUGGGCGCAAGCCUGACCCAGCCACGCCGCGUGAGUGAUGAAGGCCUUCGGGUUGUAAAGCUCUGUGGGGAGGGAAGAAAAAUCCGGGUUCGAAUAGGGCCUGGACUUGACGGUACCUCCUUAGCAAGCACCGGCUAACUCUGUGCCAGCAGCCGCGGUAAGACAGAGGGUGCAAACGUUGCUCGGAAUUACUGGGCGUAAAGGGCGCGUAGGCGGAUUUGGAAGUCGGGUGUGAAAGCCCUGGGCUCAACCUAGGAACUGCAUUCGAAACUCCAAGUCUAGAGUGACGGAGAGGAAAGCGGAAUUCCCGGUGUAGAGGUGAAAUUCGUAGAUAUCGGGAGGAACACCAGAGGCGAAGGCGGCUUUCUGGACGUCUACUGACGCUGAGGCGCGAAAGCGUGGGGAGCAAAC